GAAAUGCGAUAAGUAGUGUGAAUUGCAGAAUUCAGUGAAUCAUCGAAUCUUUGAACGCACAUUGCGCCCUUUGGUAUUCCUUAGGGCAUGCCUGUUCGAGCGUCAUUUGUAACCUCAAGCUCAGCUUGGUGUUGGGUGUCUGUCCCCGCCUCGCGCGGGGACUCGCCUCAAAAACAUUGGCGGCCGGUACGUUGGCUUCGAGCGCAGCAGAAACGCGAACUCGAGGCCCGACGGAUCGGCGACCAGAAGUCACUUCUUCCACAGCUUGACCUCGGAUCAGGUAGGGAUACCCGCUGAACUUAAGC
Molecule: unclassified non-coding RNA, 305 nt
Filed under: plant metagenome
Description: partial contains 5.8S ribosomal RNA, internal transcribed spacer 2, and large subunit ribosomal RNA
Rfam family: 5.8S ribosomal RNA (bases 1-105)
Source: RNAcentral